AUUGAACGCUGGCGGCAUGCUUUACACAUGCAAGUCGAACGGUAACAGGCCUUCGGGUGCUGACGAGUGGCGAACGGGUGAGUAAUGCAUCGGAACGUGCCCAAUCGUGGGGGAUAACGUAGCGAAAGUUACGCUAAUACCGCAUAAGCCCUGAGGGGGAAAGCAGGGGAUCGCAAGACCUUGCGCGAAUGGAGCGGCCGAUGUCAGAUUAGCUAGUUGGUGGGGUAAAGGCCUACCAAGGCGACGAUCUGUAGCGGGUCUGAGAGGAUGAUCCGCCACACUGGGACUGAGACACGGCCCAGACUCCUACGGGAGGCAGCAGUGGGGAAUUUUGGACAAUGGGCGCAAGCCUGAUCCAGCCAUGCCGCGUGCGGGACGAAGGCCUUCGGUUGUAAACCGCUUCUAGCCGGAAGAAUACGCCAAGGCUAAUAUCCUUGGUGGAGUGACGGUACCGGAAGAAGAAGCACCGGCU
Molecule: ribosomal RNA, 472 nt
Filed under: uncultured bacterium
Lineage: Bacteria
Description: bacterial SSU rRNA
Rfam family: Bacterial small subunit ribosomal RNA
Source: RNAcentral